This 1978-nucleotide ribosomal RNA is filed under the name termite gut metagenome. RNAcentral describes it as "bacterial LSU rRNA". It matches the Rfam family "Bacterial large subunit ribosomal RNA", at positions 1 to 1993 of the family's 2925-position model. The record is from RNAcentral.
AGAAGUUACAAAAGGGCGGACAGAGGAUGCCUAGGCUUCUAUGGGCGAGGAAGGACGUGGUAAGCUGCGUUAAGGUGCGGGGAUUUGCAAACAGGAGUUGAUCCGCACAUAUCCGAAUGGGGCAACCCACUUGACUGAAGGUCAAGUACUCAAGUAAUUGAGGGCCAACACAGGGAACUGAAACAUCUCAAUACCUGUAGGAAAAGAAAGAAAAAUCGAUUUCGUAAGUAGUGGCGAGCGAACGCGAAAGAGCCCAAACCGUUGUUGUUUCGGCAAUGGCGGGGUUAUAGGACUCCGAUAUUUGUUAUUAUGGUUAAAUGGAAAGAUUUGGAAAAAUCUGCCAUAGCGUGUGAUAGCCACGUACAUGUAAGCUGUAGUGAUAAUAGGAGUAUCCUGAGUAGGGCGGGACACGAGGAAUCCUGUCUGAAUUUGCGGGGACCAUCCCGUAAGGCUAAAUACCAAUAGAAGACCGAUAGUGAACCAGUACUGUGAAGGAAAGGUGAAAAGUACCCCGAACAGGGGGGUGAAAAAGAACCUGAAACUGUCCGCUUACAAGCGGUCGGAGCCACUUUGUGUGGUGACGGCGUGCCUUUUGCAUAAUGAGCCUACGAGUUACAUCUCACUAGCGAGGUUAAGGAUUUAAGGUCCGGAGCCGAAGCGAAAGCGAGUCUGAACAGGGCGGUUUAGUUAGUGGGAGUAGACGCGAAACCUUGUGAUCUACCCUUGACCAGGUUGAAGGUGCCGUAACAGGUACUGGAGGACCGAACCAGUUUCCGUUGAAAAGGAUUUGGAUGAGUUGAGGGUAGGGGUGAAAGGCUAAUCAAACUGGGAGAUAGCUCGUACUCCCCGAAAUGUCUUUUGGGACAGCCUCAUAGUUUAGCUUCAUGGAGGUAGAGCUACUGAUUGGAUGCGAGGGCUUCAUCGCCUAUCAAAUCCAGACAAACUCCGAAUGCCGUGAAGUGUAUCUAUGGGAGUGAGUCGCCGGGUGCUAAUGUCCGGUGGCGAGAGGGAAAUAGCCCAGACCAACAGCUAAGGCCCCCAAACGUGUGUUAAGUUGAAAGAACGAUGUUCGGUUGCAUAGACAGCUAGGAUGUUAGCUUGGAAGCAGCUAUUCAUUUAAAGAGUGCGUAACAGCUCACUAGUCGAGCGACUGAGCGUGGAUAAUAAACGGGCAUCAAGCACACUGCCGAAGCUAUGGACUUCAUGUAAAUGGAGUGGUAGGGGAGCAUUCUAGUCGGCGCAGAAGGGGUAUUGUGAGAUACCCUGGAGCGGUUAGAAAAGCAAAUGUAGGCAUAAGUAACGAUAAUGCAGGCGAGAAACCUGCACACCGAAAACCCAAGGGUUCCUGAUCAAUGCUAAUCAGAUCAGGGUUAGUCGGGACCUAAGGCGUAGCCGAAAGGCGAAGCUGAUGGACAAAUGGUUAAUAUUCCAUUACCUGUAUAUUAGGCGAAGGAGAGACGGAGUAGUGACACGCACGCGGCCUGACGGAAUAGGUCGUUAAAGUCCGUAGGUAAAGGGUUUGGUUAAUAGCCGGACACUGCUGAUGGACGACAGUACCGCAAGGCUUCGGCUGCGCGGAUAGUUGCGGUAAACAGACUUCCAAGAAAAACUUCUAGCGAUAAGCAAUAUACAGCCCGUACCGUAAACCGACACAGGUGGGUGAGGAGAGGAUCCUCAGGUGCUCGAGUGAAUCAUGGCUAAGGAACUCGGCAAAUUAACCCCGUAACUUCGGGACAAGGGGUCCCUCGUGUGAACGAGGGCGCAGAGAAAUGGCCCAGGCGACUGUUUAACAAAAACACAUGGCUUUGCUAAAUCGCAAGAUGAAGAAUAAGGCCUGACACCUGCCCGGUGCCGGAAGGUUAAGAGGGGAUGUUAUUCGCAAGGAGAAGCAUUGAAUCGAAGCCCCGGUAAACGGCGGCCGUAACUAUAACGGUCCUAAGGUAGCGAAAUUCCUUGUCGGGUAAGUUCCGACCUGCAC